GGUCAAUGAUGUGAUGGCAUGUAUUAGCUGAAUCCGAAGUUGAUGUGUAUCAUCAAGCUCUAGAAUUACGCUGAGACCUU
This is a small nucleolar RNA of Loxodonta africana (African savanna elephant), 80 nucleotides long. Ensembl annotates it as small nucleolar RNA SNORD45. The record is from Ensembl. NCBI's taxonomy places the organism in Eukaryota, Metazoa, Chordata, Mammalia, Proboscidea, Elephantidae.